CGGGCUGCGGUCAGUGCUGCCCACCACGGUGCACCUUCUGACGCUAGAAGCACUGUCGCGUACCAGAGUUCUCCUGCGACUAGAACACCUGUCCAUCGAGCAGCGCGCGGUGCAGGUCAACGUCACGAGGCUGCUGAAGGGCUUUCGGCUGAGCAACGUGCGACCGGUGACUCUGGCCGUAAACCAAUUCCUUCCUGGGCCCACGAGGCAACAGUGGCCAGUGCGUGGACAGCCACGACCCGAAGCGACCCGGGAGCCCCUGGCAGUGCCCGCCAUCACGAGACAAAGGCGAACCGGCGACACGCUGGUUACUCUGUCACCGGGCCAAAUAGUCAGCCUUAUUGCCAAUAUAGGAGAACGCGAACUCUCAGAUUAGGGGGAUGGUGCUA
Molecule: long non-coding RNA, 389 nt
Organism: Rhipicephalus sanguineus (brown dog tick)
Lineage: Eukaryota; Metazoa; Arthropoda; Arachnida; Ixodida; Ixodidae
Exons: 2
Source: RefSeq, a predicted model, not a curated record